RNAcentral lists this ribosomal RNA (814 nucleotides) under uncultured bacterium. RNAcentral describes it as "bacterial SSU rRNA". It matches the Rfam family "Bacterial small subunit ribosomal RNA", at positions 546 to 1356 of the family's 1533-position model. The record is from RNAcentral.
CGGAAUUAUUGGGCGUAAAGAGCUCGUAGGCGGUUUGUCACGUCUGUCGUGAAAGUCCGGGGCUUAACCCCGGAUCUGCGGUGGGUACGGGCAGACUAGAGUGCAGUAGGGGAGACUGGAAUUCCUGGUGUAGCGGUGGAAUGCGCAGAUAUCAGGAGGAACACCGAUGGCGAAGGCAGGUCUCUGGGCUGUAACUGACGCUGAGGAGCGAAAGCAUGGGGAGCGAACAGGAUUAGAUACCCUGGUAGUCCAUGCCGUAAACGUUGGGCACUAGGUGUGGGGACCAUUCCACGGUUUCCGCGCCGCAGCUAACGCAUUAAGUGCCCCGCCUGGGGAGUACGGCCGCAAGGCUAAAUCUCAAAGGAAUUGACGGGGGCCCGCACAAGCGGCGGAGCAUGCGGAUUAAUUCGAUGCAACGCGAAGAACCUUACCAAGGCUUGACAUGUUUUCGACCGCCGUGGAGACACGGUUUCCCCUUUGGGGCGGAUUCACAGGUGGUGCAUGGUUGUCGUCAGCUCGUGUCGUGAGAUGUUGGGUUAAGUCCCGCAACGAGCGCAACCCUCGUUCCAUGUUGCCAGCACGUAGUGGUGGGGACUCAUGGGAGACUGCCGGGGUCAACUCGGAGGAAGGUGAGGACGACGUCAAAUCAUCAUGCCCCUUAUGUCUUGGGCUUCACGCAUGCUACAAUGGCCGGUACAAUGGGUUGCGAUACUGUGAGGUGGAGCUAAUCCCAAAAAGCCGGUCUCAGUUCGGAUUGGGGUCUGCAACUCGACCCCAUGAAGUCGGAGUCGCUAGUAAUCGCAGAUCAGCAACG